RNAcentral lists this transfer RNA (72 nucleotides) under Blepharisma stoltei. RNAcentral describes it as "tRNA-iMet(cat)". It matches the Rfam family "tRNA". From Rfam's summary of the family: Transfer RNA (tRNA) molecules are approximately 80 nucleotides in length. Their secondary structure includes four short double-helical elements and three loops (D, anti-codon, and T loops). Lineage: Eukaryota; Ciliophora; Heterotrichea; Heterotrichida; Blepharismidae. The record is from RNAcentral.
AGCGAAGUGGCGCAGUGGAAGCGUGCUGGGCUCAUAACCCAGAGGUCGGUGGAUCGAAACCACUCUUCGCUA